RNAcentral lists this long non-coding RNA (1194 nucleotides) under Lactuca sativa (garden lettuce). Its description in RNAcentral is "long non-coding RNA (LSAT_LNC002105)". The record is from RNAcentral. Lineage: Eukaryota; Viridiplantae; Streptophyta; Magnoliopsida; Asterales; Asteraceae.
CAUUCCACGAAAUACGAAGAGUUUUUGUUUUGCACAUUGAUCAUCUGCUCGUCGACUUCUUUAGUUGACAUUUUUCCACGGAACAUAGCCGAGGCAGUGAGGUAACGGCCGUGGCGGGGGUCGGCAGCGCACAUCAUGUUCUUAGCGUCCCACAUUUGUUGAGUGAGCUCAGGGAUAGUUAGGGCACGGUACUGCUGUGAUCCUCGGGAGGUCAACGGUGCGAAUCCGACCAUGAAGAAGUGGAGGCGAGGGAAGGGGAUGAGAUUCACGGCGAGCUUGCGAAGGUCGGAGUUCAGUUGACCGGGAAACCGGAGGCAGCAGGUGACGCCGCUCAUCGUAGUUGAAAUCAAGUGGUUCAGGUCUCCAACUGUCACCGACAAUUAUACAAUAAAUAUAAUUAAUUGUCUUUUAAUAGAAACACAUGUAUUGAAAUACCAUUUAAAAAUAAUUUUCUUAAAAAACAAUUUAGUUGACUUACAGCUUGGGUUUGUGAGCUUGAGUGUUCGGAAACAUAUAUCAUACAGUGCUUCAUUAUCAAGAACCAUGCACUCAUCAGCAUUCUCGACAAGCUGGUGAACAGAAAGGGUGGCAUUGUAUGGCUCAACAACUGUAUCCGACACCUUCGGUGAAGGGAAAACCGAAAAAGUCAACAUCAUCCGAUCCGGAUACUCUUCCCGGAUCUUGGAUAUCAGUAGGGUACCCAUACCGGAUCCGGUCCCCCCUCCAAGCGAAUGGCAUACCUGAAAACCUGUAAACGAAAAUCAAUGUCUUUCUGAUCUUUUUCAAAUAUAAGAUUUUACGGUUUAAAAACAAUUUGAUAAUAAAUUAUACCUUGCAAACAAUCACAAUUCUCGGCUUCCUUACGAACAACAUCAAGAACCGAGUCAAUUAGCUCGGCACCUUCGGUGUAAUGCCCUUUAGCCCAAUUGUUUCCAGCACCAUUUUGGCCGAAGAUAAAGUUAUCAGGCCUAAAAAUAUUACCAUAUGGCCCGGUACGCAGACUGUCCAUCGUACCAGGCUCUAGGUCCACCAACACAGCUCUAGGUACAUACCUACCGCCACUAGCCUCAUUAUAGUACACAUUCACUCUUUCUAGUUGAACAUGACUGUUACCGACAUAUUUCCCGGUGGCAUCGAUGCCGUGUUCGUCACACACGACCUCCCAAAACUUCCCUCCGAUCUGGUUUCCGCAUU